This 459-nucleotide ribosomal RNA is filed under the name uncultured bacterium. RNAcentral describes it as "partial 16S ribosomal RNA". It matches the Rfam family "Bacterial small subunit ribosomal RNA", at positions 338 to 795 of the family's 1533-position model. The record is from RNAcentral.
CCUACGGGUGGCAGCAGUGAGGAAUAUUGGUCAAUGGCCGUGAGGCUGAACCAGCCAAGCCGCGUGAGGGAAGAAGGUACUGUGUUUUGUAAACUUCUUUUGUAGGGGAAUAAAGGUAUCCACGUGUGGAUAUUUGCAUGUACCCUAUGAAUAAGCAUCGGCUAACUCCGUGCCAGCAGCCGCGGUAAUACGGAGGAUUCGAGCGUUAUCCGGAUUUAUUGGGUUUAAAGGGUGCGUAGGUUGUUUUUUAAGUCAGCGGUGAAAGUUGUGGGUCAACCAUAAAAUUGCCGUUGAAACUGGAAGACGUGAGUGGGCUUGAGGUAGGAGGAAUGCGUGGUGUAGCGGUGAAAUGCAUAGAUAUCACGCAGAACUCCGAUUGCGAAGGCAGCUUACUAAGCCAUAACUGACACUGAAGCACGAAAGCGUGGGGAUCAAACAGGAUUAGAUACCCGAGUAGUC